RNAcentral lists this ribosomal RNA (469 nucleotides) under uncultured bacterium. Its description in RNAcentral is "bacterial SSU rRNA". It matches the Rfam family "Bacterial small subunit ribosomal RNA", at positions 58 to 521 of the family's 1533-position model. The record is from RNAcentral.
CAAGUCGAACGGCAGACGGGGGCAACCCUGGUGGCGAGUGGCGAACGGGUGAGUAAUACAUCGGAACGUGUCCUGUAGUGGGGGAUAGCCCGGCGAAAGCCGGAUUAAUACCGCAUACGAUCUGUGGAUGAAAGCGGGGGAUCCUUCGGGACCUCGCGCUACAGGGGCGGCCGAUGGCAGAUUAGCUAGUUGGUGGGGUAAAGGCCUACCAAGGCGACGAUCUGUAGCUGGUCUGAGAGGACGACCAGCCACACUGGGACUGAGACACGGCCCAGACUCCUACGGGAGGCAGCAGUGGGGAAUUUUGGACAAUGGGCGAAAGCCUGAUCCAGCAAUGCCGCGUGUGUGAAGAAGGCCUUCGGGUUGUAAAGCACUUUUGUCCGGAAAGAAAACCUCGUGGUUAAUACCCGUGGGGGAUGACGGUACCGGAAGAAUAAGCACCGGCUAACUACGUGCCAGCAGCCGCGGU